Molecule: ribosomal RNA, 455 nt
Filed under: uncultured bacterium
Lineage: Bacteria
Description: SSU rRNA
Rfam family: Bacterial small subunit ribosomal RNA
Source: RNAcentral
AGAACGAACGCUGGCGGCAUGCCUAACACAUGCAAGUCGAACGUGAUCCAGGCUUCGGCCUGGUGAAAGUGGCAGACGGGUGAGUAACGCGUGGGAACCUGCCCUGUGGUAGGGAAUAACCGUGGGAAACUGCGGCUAAUACCCUAUGAGUCCUUCGGGAGAAAGAUUUAUCGCCAUAGGAGGGGCCCGCGUCGGAUUAGGUAGUUGGUGGGGUAACGGCCUACCAAGCCUUCGAUCCGUAGCUGGUCUGAGAGGAUGAUCAGCCACACUGGGACUGAGACACGGCCCAAACUCCUACGGGAGGCAGCAGUGGGGAAUAUUGGACAAUGGGCGAAAGCCUGAUCCAGCCAUGCCGCGUGAGUGAUGACGGCCUUAGGGUUGUAAAGCUCUUUCGUCAGGGACGAUAAUGACGGUACCUGAAGAAGAAGCCCGGCUAACUUCGCGCCAGCAGCCGC